This is a long non-coding RNA of Gadus macrocephalus (Pacific cod), 1099 nucleotides long. RefSeq lists it as uncharacterized. The record is from RefSeq and is a predicted model, not a curated record. The transcript has 2 exons. Lineage: Eukaryota; Metazoa; Chordata; Actinopteri; Gadiformes; Gadidae.
GGCACGAGCGGAUCACACAACCCUAGAGCUCGUCAAUUUAUUGGUAAGUUGUCUUACCACAAAUUAAUACGGUUGUUUGAUCUGUUCCUGUCCCGUCUGGAAGCUCUGCUGCAGGUAAAGCGUCUCUUCAGUCCAACGAAUCAAAUUAAUCAUUGAAGAGAGAUUGGGGAGCUCCAGCGAGAGAUAGAGUGUGCGCGCGCACAGCCAUAGACGCUCUGUUGUUAUGAUUAACUAACAAGCGGUUUGUGGUUCUAAAUUGAUACAAAAUUGUUAGAAUUAUUUUUGAUAGGUAGGCCUACUAUAAAGUCCUGUGGCUGUGUUCUACGGGAACAAAUUAGUGUCAAAAUUCCAAUAGAGCAAGCGCAGGUCCGCAGGUCGAAUGAGUGCGCACUUGUUGGAUUUCUGAGGCCCCAACUGAAAUUGGUUUGGGUCUUCUAUAAAGUCCUGCGACUGUUAUCUGGGGGAACGAAUUAGUGUCAAAGUUCCAGUAUAGGUAUAGCAGCGCAGGUCCGUGGGUCGAAUGAGUACGUACCUGUUGGACUUUUUGAAAUCACAUCUGGAGUUAUUAUUUUAUUUUGCAUUUAAAAGACGAGUUAAGUGAGUUCCAGUCUUUUAUUUUGCAUUUAUUGACGAGUGAGUGAGUUCCAGUCUUUUUUCAUUAAAAGACGAGUGAGUGAGUUACGAUCUUUUUUCAUUAAAAGACGAGUGAGUGAGUUCCAGUCAGUAUCUUAUGCAAACAAAUUCGGCCGUUUUUUCGAUACACUAUUGAACGUGGUAUAAACAGUUUCCUUCUGUAUUUAAAUUGUGUUGGAUUAAGUUGCCUCGGAGGCUUUUACAAUCCGUUUUUUUAGUUUAUCCUGUCAUUAAGACAGUCAGAGAAAUAAAUAACUUGUCUGGAACAAGUGGGCGAAACUUUAUCUAGAGGUGUGUUCUCUUAGCCUGUGGCCAGAAAGGGUGGGGGCCUAGGAGCAGAGUGCAUCUAAAAACAGCUGGGACGCAGAUCCCAAUCGAUAGAGAGGGAGAGAGGGAGAGAGAGAGAGAGAGAGAGAGAGAGAGAGAGAGAGAGAGAGAGAGAGAGAGAGAGAGAGAGAGAGAGAGA